GCGGGAGUGCCGGAGAGGCCAAACGGGCAGGACUCAGAAUUUUUAUUCUGAAUGCCAAACUUAAGGUCCUCCGAGAAAAAAAGGAGGAGAAAUCCUGUGGCUUAGUGCCUGCGAAGGUUCGAAUCCUUCCUCCCGCA
RNAcentral lists this transfer RNA (137 nucleotides) under Candidatus Omnitrophota bacterium. RNAcentral's name for it is "tRNA-OTHER". It matches the Rfam family "tRNA". From Rfam's summary of the family: Transfer RNA (tRNA) molecules are approximately 80 nucleotides in length. The record is from RNAcentral. Lineage: Bacteria; Pseudomonadati; Candidatus Omnitrophota.